Molecule: long non-coding RNA, 206 nt
Filed under: Lathyrus oleraceus (garden pea)
Lineage: Eukaryota; Viridiplantae; Streptophyta; Magnoliopsida; Fabales; Fabaceae
Description: Pisum sativum (pea) long non-coding RNA (PSAT_LNC008763)
Source: RNAcentral
CUAUGGUUGUCAAAAAGGUUGCAUCAAGAGAGCAAUAAAAGAAAAUAUAUGCGCCAAUGAACCUCAACAAAGAAAAAAAACGGUGUACAAAAGAAAUACCCCCGAGUUUUAAAUUUGAACAAACGACACAAGGGUAACAACACGAAAUCUGAGCCUAAACCCCUAGUAUUCCCUUUUGUUUCUAUUACCCACCUUACACCUUAGCC